RNAcentral lists this ribosomal RNA (871 nucleotides) under uncultured bacterium. Its description in RNAcentral is "bacterial SSU rRNA". It matches the Rfam family "Bacterial small subunit ribosomal RNA", at positions 28 to 898 of the family's 1533-position model. The record is from RNAcentral.
GACGAACGCUGGCGGCGUGCUUAACACAUGCAAGUCGAGCGGAAAGGCUCCUUCGGGGGUACUCGAGCGGCGAACGGGUGAGUAACACGUGAGUAAUCUGCCCUCCACUCUGGGAUAACGUUCAGAAAUGGGUGCUAAUACCGGAUGUACACACGCUGACGCAUGUUGGUGUGUGGAAAGGUUCUUCUGGUGGGGGAUGUGCUCGCGGCCUAUCAGCUUGUUGGUGGGGUAAUGGCCUACCAAGGCUUUGACGGGUAGCCGGCCUGAGAGGGUGACCGGCCACACUGGGACUGAGACACGGCCCAGACUCCUACGGGAGGCAGCAGUGGGGAAUAUUGGACAAUGGGCGGAAGCCUGAUCCAGCAACGCCGCGUGAGGGAUGACGGCCUUCGGGUUGUAAACCUCUUUCACCAUUGACGAAGCUGCAUCUUUUUGGGUGUGGUGACGGUAGGUGGGGAAGAAGCCUCGGCUAACUACGUGCCAGCAGCCGCGGUAAUACGUAGGAGGCAAGCGUUGUCCGGAAUUACUGGGCGUAAAGCGCGUGUAGGUGGUGGGACAAGUCUGCUGUGAAAGCGCCUGGCUUAACCGGGCGAGGUCGGCGGAAACUGUUCGACUCGAGGACGGUAGAGGGGGGUGGAAUUCCCGGUGUAGUGGUGAAAUGCGUAGAGAUCGGGAGGAACACCUGUGGCGAAGGCGGCCCCCUGGGCCGGCCCUGACACUGAGACGCGAAGGCGUGGGGGGCGAACGGGAUUAGAUACCCCGGUAGUCCACGCAGUAAACGAUGCAUACUAGUGUGGGGGGUAUCGAGCCCCUCCGUGCCGCAGCUAACGCAAUAAGUAUGCCGCCUGGGGAGUACGGCCGCAAGGUUAAA